Molecule: long non-coding RNA, 1223 nt
Organism: Oncorhynchus nerka (sockeye salmon)
Lineage: Eukaryota; Metazoa; Chordata; Actinopteri; Salmoniformes; Salmonidae
Exons: 2
Source: RefSeq, a predicted model, not a curated record
UUCAAAGUUCAAAUUGCCACAGGGGAUUGGGGGGGACAGCCCCAAGAGAGUCUGUUGCUCCCACACUUUCACUUUCUACUUCUUAAAAUAACUGCUGGGUUUUACAGAGUUAUUGUAAGAGUCCAAGUUAACAUAUUUGUCUAAGACGCAGACUACAAGCGUGUUGAUAGAAUAGGGCUAGAGGAUGGAGACAUGUUGGUUAGGUGGGUUUGGAGGAGCGGGAAGGGAUGUUGGGGGCCCACUUCUUUUUUGUUUCUUUUUCCUGUUUAUACUGUACAAGUAGAGGUAUGUUAGCUAAACUGUUUAGUACCCAGCCUAUCCAUUUCCUGUCCCUUCCUCUGAUCAAACCAUGAACUCUAAUUGGUUGGUUCGACUUCAUGGACUAAUAAUAACAGAGAAGUUUAACUAUAAAUGUUUGCGCAGCAACAGCAGGACAUCACAUCCACUUCAAUAUUCCAAUCCUGAGAACAGCUGCAGACUGAGCAGAAAGUCAUCACUGCCAUUGAAGAGAUGAAAAGGAGCGAAGAAACAAGUAUACCUGUAAAGGCAUCCAUUGAGAUGAUGUAUGACCACGAGGUAGACAGGGAAGGAGAGUGGCACGGGGAGGCAGGAGUGUAUAAGGGUGAAUUAGACAUCGGUGGCGUGAGGUCGGUGACCAAGUUGGCCAACAUGGGUGUUGGUGGUAUGGCAUCGAAGGAAAAAGGAGUUAGUGGGCACCUUGACUACGAAUUGGGAAAGACUCAUUUAGACCUCGGUGGCGAGUUGAAGGUGGAGGGCAGGUUGCCCAGCGCCGGUGUUGCGGCUGGGAUAACUAAUGAAGGAGUUAAAGCCAUGGCCACAGCUGAGCUCCUAGGUGCCUCUGUGUCCCACGGGAAGGCGACAGCCACAGUGUGUCUGGCAGCUGAUACAGGCUUUGGAGUAGGCAAGGAUGGGAUCGAGGCACAAUUUCUGGGUACAGGAUUCUCUAUUGGGAAGAAAACAUCCAUUUCUCUGUUUGGUUCCAAGUUUGAAUGGGACUUCAGCAAGUGACACACCCCCACUCAGAGCCCAGAGGUCCACUUCUGUGGAGAUGUAUUAAUUCCACCUGUUUAGUUCUCUUAUAGCCUACAGAUAAGGCUUCAGGGCCACAGAUGUGCUUGGCUUCUUUUAAACUUAAUGAAAACAUCUUGAUGUAUUGUUCUUAAUCAAUGGACUGUAUUUACAAUAUAUUCUUAUCAACUGUA